UUCACUUUCACAUUCAUAAAGACAUUCACACAUCCACAUAUAGCUAAUAAAUAUAAAUCGAAACAAACUGUUGCAUCAUUAUGAUAACUGAGCACGCAUUUAAUGGAAUCAUAGGAACAUAAAAAAAACCAAUCGAAAACUCUCCAACAUGGUAUCAACCCUUACUGGAAAUCAUAAAAGCUAGCGCAAAAAAUAUCAACACAACAUUAUGUAUUUUUGUAUAGUCGUACCACUCACAAGCAUACGAAUACUUCUCUCGAUUCUAAAUUCUCAAAAGUUAUAAAAAUGGGAAAUAAUACUAGUGUGUCAAAUCUGUGUCUGGGAUUGAACUUGCUCUUUCGUUGUUUGUAUUUAUUUACGAAGUUAUGUGUCAUUCGGUAGUACCUGUUUGACACAUAUCUGAAUAACGAAGUUCCUGGUUCCAUUUGUUUUGUAAUAAAACUCGUAGACUGUCUGGUGAAUAUACGAAUGUAUAGUAACGUACCUUGAAGGUAAUGAUUUUAGCUGAACGCACAUGCUAACGGAUAUGCACAAUAUCAUGUUUUAGUAAGUGCUGAAUCUAAUACCGUUUUUGGGCUUGAAUCUGGGUCUGGUCGAACUCGGACUUCGGAUUAGGCUUUUAAAUUUAAAGUCAGUAUUAGUGUCAGUGAAAUUCAUUUUUAUUUCAAUCUCCUCAACUCACAAUGCAUACGAGAAUGGUGAUUUAAAUUUAACCUCACAGUACAUCUAAUGAACCAAUUGACUUCUCUCACUCUUCGUUUGAAUGUAAACAGUAGUGAUAAAUGCGAACAUAGUUGUAGAUCUUGCAAAUUUCUCAGACAAACCUUGCUUCGCUUUAUCGAGUACCAACCAAAUUUCAAGAAAGUAUCUUAAAAUUGACCGGUAUUCACAAUUUUUUUUUGCUAAUAUAGACCUCUCGUAAAUAUUUCAUAAUUACAUUGAGGAUGUUUGCACUUUCUCUGGGUUUUCUGAACAUUAUUACAUAUUUGAAAACUGGUAUCGACUACAGGACCAACAUUUCUACACACAUGCAAACGUUCCAAAAAUAUUCAAUAUGUACAAACCUACUUUUCUGAUCUAAAAUAGAAGGAAUAUUUUUUAAAUUUAACGCAAAAUAUUCGAAAAAAUGCAACACUUUUAUUAAAUGGAUGUUAUUUAUAGGAUGCAUCAAAAUUUUCACGGAACAUUACAUGCAGCCUAAUUUGCCGACUAUAUUUAGUGUGCUCAUAAUUUCUGGAACAGUUUAUAACCGAAACGUUCUGAAGUGUAAACUCUGCAUGACCGGCUGAUUUUAAGACAUUUUUUCUUUAAUUUUACCAGAUCUAAGGCUUCAUAAAUAUGUAAUGUUGUUUACGUUCAGACUUAUUUUAUGAUAUUUUAAUAUUUUGAACUUGCGCGAACAGUAUAUUCGAACGGUAAGCCGUGUAACUUGAUGAAGAGUAAAUCAUUAUUAAAGUUUUAAUAUUUUAUUUUGAUGAAAAAUUUUUUACUUAUGAGAAUUUUUACUUAUGAGAAUCUCUCAAUCAGUGGCAAGUUGGUGUUAAUGGCCUUAAAUAUCGUCAACAUAGUUUGGCCAUGUGUGCACCAUAAUUCCAAAUUAUUUGACACAUUUAUAUUGAUUCGGAACAGAAAAAUACACAGGUCUUUUUUCGAAAGCAUCAACAAAAAUCAAUCUAAAAACCUUGUUAAUCAAUGGUUUUAAAGCACACUUGAAGGAUAAUUCGAUGUCUCCAGGAGCGUUAUAAAGCUUAUGAUGGGUACCUCACUUGUAUAUUAUUGAGAUUUGCCAUCAAGAUGAAGGUCUGUUCUAAAAGUAUACACACUUUUUUAUGUACAUGGUAUCGGAGUUACCGUGAACACACAUUUGAUUUCAAAAACGCAAAUUAAUAGGCUUCAACCCAGACAACUUUGUUCAAAUUAUUGCUUUUCAUCAGAUACGAAUCUCUCGACAUGUCUACGUGGUUUAUGUAUUGUCCUUUCAACAUAAACACACACUCAUACCUGGUGUCCCCCGAAGAUAACUAAAAAAGAAAAAGGGUAAAACAAAAACAAUUAUUAUCGAAAUUAUGAUUAUGGAUAUUUCAAAACAUUGUAUCGAUGAUUGUGGGAAAAGCAAAAAAAGGAUGGAAGCGAGAUGUUGAUUAUAAGAAAACAAAAAUAGGAACAAAAUUGAAGAAGUAGAGCAACAAUACAAAAAUACUACAUUAACAAGCUGAGAGAGGAAUUUCAGUGCAGAAGACAACAUUGAGUUAGAUCUUUACCAUUGAAUUUUUCAUGACUGAAAUUACUGAAUGGAGCGAGCGUGAAUGGUGAUUGCAAUUACUUAAUCUAAAACGUACGCAACCCUAUAUACAACAAAUUAAAGAAACCCAAACAGUAAAUGUAUGUACUCCAGGACAAAAAAGAACACACACACACACGACUACCAACCAUCAGCGAUCAAAACUUAGCAUGGAAGAAACAAUUCGCUACGCCCCGAAUGUUAUAAUUAUUAACGACUAAGUAAAUAGUUGAAAAUUGAUUCCAUUCAUAUAUUAAUCAUACUUACAUUAAUUAUAGCUAUACAUUGAUUAUAUUAAAUUGAUAAAAAAAAGAACACGAAGACGGAAAAGUAAGACAAACAACACGCAAAUUAUAAUAUUGUAUUGCCCCUCUUGAAAAUGCCUUUUAUUUUGUUGUAUACAUAUAUUUACAUUUAUUUUUCAUUGUAUUAUGUUCUCUUCCUUUUUCAUGAAAUGUACACUCUGAUUACAAUUAGUAAAUGAUUACAAUUAAGGGAAAGCAAAAAAAAA
Molecule: long non-coding RNA, 2792 nt
Organism: Armigeres subalbatus
Lineage: Eukaryota; Metazoa; Arthropoda; Insecta; Diptera; Culicidae
Exons: 2
Source: RefSeq, a predicted model, not a curated record